GAUGAACGCUGGCGGCGUGCCUAAUACAUGCAAGUCGAGCGAACAGACGAGGAGCUUGCUCCUCUGACGUGAGCGGCAGACGGGUGAGUAACACGUGGAUAACCCACCUAUAAGACGGGGAUAACUUCGGGAAACCGGAGAUAAUAGCGGAUAAUAUAUUGAACCGCAUGGGUGAAUGGUGAAAGACGGUUUUGCUGUCACUUAUAGAUGGAUCCGCGCCGCAUUAGCGAGUUGGUAAGGUAACGGCUUACCAAGGCAACGAUGCGUAGCCGACCGGAGAGGGUGUUCGGCCCCCCUGGAACUUGGACACGGUCCAGACUCCUACGGGAGGCAGCAGUAGGGAAUCUUCCGCAAUGGGCGAAAGCCUGACGGAGCGACGCCGCGUGAGUGAUGACGGUCUUCGGAUCGUAAAACUCUGUUAUUAGGGAAGAACAAAUGUGUAAGUAACUAUGCACGUCUUGACGGUACCUAAUCAGAAAGCCCCGGCUAACUACGUG
RNAcentral lists this ribosomal RNA (497 nucleotides) under uncultured bacterium. RNAcentral describes it as "partial 16S ribosomal RNA". It matches the Rfam family "Bacterial small subunit ribosomal RNA", at positions 28 to 507 of the family's 1533-position model. The record is from RNAcentral.